ACAAACUCAAGUACAUCGAAAAGGCAGAAAGGCAAAGUUUCACCCCCCAUCAAUGUUCAGGAUAUUCGGCUAACAACCACUUUCCCUUCCCAUCAAGUCGGCACACAGGAGAGCGUUGGCGAAUUUGAUUUAGGGGUCUAAAGCAUCCACAGAUAUUUGGCUAUAGAUUUUUGUAAACAAUUAACUGACAUGCUCCACUUGGGUGAUUUUGAUAUAGGGGUCUAAAGCAUCUAGAAAAAGUUGGUUGUAUAUUUUUGUAAACAGUUAACCGACAUGUUUUGAUUUUGGGCGGAAAUAUGUUCUAAUUUAUA
This is a long non-coding RNA of Olea europaea var. sylvestris, 311 nucleotides long. RefSeq lists it as uncharacterized. The record is from RefSeq and is a predicted model, not a curated record. The transcript is spliced from 2 exons. NCBI's taxonomy places the organism in Eukaryota, Viridiplantae, Streptophyta, Magnoliopsida, Lamiales, Oleaceae.